ACGGCCGUACCAUGCUGAAUAUACCGGUUCUCGUUAGAUCACCGAAGUCAAGCAUCAUUGGGCGCGGUCAGUACUUGGGUGGGUGACCACCUGGGAACACCGCGUGCCGUU
This 111-nucleotide ribosomal RNA is filed under the name Caerostris extrusa. The record is from RNAcentral. Lineage: Eukaryota; Metazoa; Arthropoda; Arachnida; Araneae; Araneidae. RNAcentral also lists the same sequence under 1 other name.